UGUGGUCAGCUCGUGUCGUAGAUGUUGGGUUAAGUCCCGCAACGAGCGCAACCCUCGUCCUUAGUUGCCAGCAGUUGGGCUGGGCACUCUAAGGAGACUGCCUUCGCAAGGAGGAGGAAGGUGAGGACUACGUCAAGUCAUCAUGGCCCUUAUGGCCAGGGCUACACACGGUGCUACAAUGGGACGUACAGAGAGUUGCGAUACCGCGAGGUGGAGCCAAUCUCAUAAAGCGUCUGUCAGUUCGGAUUGUUCUCUGCAACUCGAGAGCAUGAAGCUGGAAUCACUAGUAUCCGUAGAUCAGCAUUGCUACGGUGAAUACGUUCCAAANGUCUUGUACACACCGCCCG
Molecule: ribosomal RNA, 347 nt
Filed under: uncultured bacterium
Lineage: Bacteria
Description: bacterial SSU rRNA
Rfam family: Bacterial small subunit ribosomal RNA
Source: RNAcentral